This 253-nucleotide ribosomal RNA is filed under the name uncultured bacterium. RNAcentral's name for it is "partial 16S ribosomal RNA". It matches the Rfam family "Bacterial small subunit ribosomal RNA", at positions 524 to 776 of the family's 1533-position model. The record is from RNAcentral.
GACAGAGGGUGCAAACGUUGUUCGGAAUUACUGGGCGUAAAGCGCGUGUAGGCGGCCCUGCAAGUCGGGUGUGAAAUCCCACGGCUCAACCGUGGAAGUGCACUCGAAACUGCAAGGCUAGAGUCCUGGAGAGGAAGGUGGAAUGCUUGGUGUAGAGGUGAAAUUCGUAGAUAUCAAGCGGAACACCGGUGGCGAAGGCGGCCUUCUGGACAGUGACUGACGCUGAGACGCGAAAGCGUGGGGAGCAAACAGG